This 22-nucleotide microRNA is filed under the name Gadus morhua (Atlantic cod). Its description in RNAcentral is "gmo-miR-11230-5p". Lineage: Eukaryota; Metazoa; Chordata; Actinopteri; Gadiformes; Gadidae. The record is from miRBase by way of RNAcentral.
UCAACCGCCGAACAGGCGAACU